Streptomyces albus is the source of this 150-nucleotide regulatory RNA element. The record is from Rfam. Lineage: Bacteria; Bacillati; Actinomycetota; Actinomycetes; Kitasatosporales; Streptomycetaceae.
CACCGAGGAGGACGUGCAGGUCGUGCAGGCAUACUGAGCGGCGACCUUGGGCGGCAGGAGCCAGGAAGCCGGUGCGAAUCCGGCACGGUCCCGCCACUGUGACCCCGCCCCGCGGGGAAGCCAGGAACUGACCUGCCGCCUCUUCCACCG